Molecule: ribosomal RNA, 428 nt
Filed under: uncultured bacterium
Lineage: Bacteria
Description: partial 16S ribosomal RNA
Rfam family: Bacterial small subunit ribosomal RNA
Source: RNAcentral
GUGGGGAAUAUUGGGCAAUGGGCGAAAGCCUGACCCAGCAACGCCGCGUGAAGGAAGAAGGUUUUCGGAUUGUAAACUUCUGUCCUCAGGGAAGAAGGAAGUGACGGUACCUGAGGAGGAAGCCCCGGCUAACUACGUGCCAGCAGCCGCGGUAAUACGUAGGGGGCGAGCGUUGUCCGGAAUGACUGGGCGUAAAGGGCGCGUAGACGGCCGAAUAAGUCUGGAGUGAAAGUCCUGCUUUCAAGGUGGGAAUUGCUUUGGAGACUGUUUGGCUUGAGUGCGGAAGAGGUAAGUGGAAUUCCCAGUGUAGCGGUGAAAUGCGUAGAGAUUGGGAGGAACACCAGUGGCGAAGGCGACUUACUGGGCCGUAACUGACGUUGAUGCGCGAAAGCGUGGGGAGCGAACAGGAUUAGAUACCCUGGUAGUCC